GUGCUCGCUUCCGCAGCACAUAUAUUAAAAUUGAAACGAUACAGAAAUUAGCAUGGCCCCUGAGCAAG
This 68-nucleotide small nuclear RNA is filed under the name Macaca nemestrina (pig-tailed macaque). The record is from RNAcentral. Lineage: Eukaryota; Metazoa; Chordata; Mammalia; Primates; Cercopithecidae.